RNAcentral lists this ribosomal RNA (253 nucleotides) under uncultured bacterium. Its description in RNAcentral is "partial 16S ribosomal RNA". It matches the Rfam family "Bacterial small subunit ribosomal RNA", at positions 524 to 776 of the family's 1533-position model. The record is from RNAcentral.
UACGAAGGGGGCUAGCGUUGUUCGGAAUCACUGGGCGUAAAGGGUGCGUAGGUGGCGCUGUAAGUCGGGUGUGAAAUUUCGGAGCUUAACUCCGAAACUGCAUUCGAUACUGCGGUGCUUGAGGACUGGAGAGGAGACUGGAAUUCAUGGUGUAGCAGUGGAAUGCGUAGAGAUCAUGAGGAAGACCAGUGGCGAAGGCGGGUCUCUGGACAGUUCCUGACACUGAGGCACGAAGGCCAGGGGAGCAAACGGG